ACCUGGCUCACGGCGAGUGCGGAGCAGAAAGCACUACUGGCGCGGGCCACAGCCAGCCGCUUUCAUCUGCUAAGACCUCACCUGAAAGUCGCACCAGUGCCCUCAAGGAUCCUCCCGCCUCUGCAGGAUGUCGAGGCUCCUCCUCGCGGGGAGGAGAAAGACGAAUCCCCUCCCUGCAUUCUCGGACAGUGCCACGUCCUCCGGCUGCCAGCGGGGCAGCGCCGCUAGGUACCGCUGCGCGCCGCCCCCGCUUCCCGCCAGCAGCCUCACCUUUCCCGGCCCCGCCCCGCCUGGGUUCUAAGGGCCUGAGGCUGCGAGGCAGGCGAGGGAAGGCUUGGUAACGGAGGGGCGGGGCCGUGCAACCCUUACCUCGACUCUGAACAGGAAUGUCCAGAAAAGAGUAGAGGAGUGUUUCUCCCUUGAUGUGGGUGGGGGAGGGUUAGUACCCGUGGGUGACUUGCCCUUCUUUAGAUAAAAAAGCACAGAGCAGUCACCUGAGAAAGAGUCCGGCACAUACAAUGUGAAUCUGGUUAACCAAGAUCUUGAAGAUAGUAGAAGAGAAAUGGGCUUUUUUAAGGAUGCAGCCAGCCGCGAGUAGAUUACCACCAUUGAAGUCCCUUUCCCUCAGGUAGAGGGCAGUCAUUAUUUUAGGACAGGGGACGGUAGACAAACACUAGCGCAAAAGACAGUGCUUCUUUCCGUAAGAGCUGGAGUGUCUGGGAAUGCAGCUCGCGCCAGAAAGGACUGGGAACUUCACUGACUUCGGUGAAAACCAUGUCUUACUCAGCAUUGUACAGUGAUAGGUCCUCCACCCUUGGGUCCAAAACUUAGAUUGCACACAAAGAGGAGGGAAGCUGGAGCCCUGACUAGGUAGAAUGCUGGUACCUCCGGCCAUUUUUAAUAAGGAAUUAUCUUCCUGGCUUGAGAGGCAUUCAGACACGUAACAAGAGGAACAACCUCAGCAAUCACUUGCAGUCCCCUAGAGCAGGACAUUUCCCAGUUCUAAUCAUGCUAAAUUUUUACUAACUUGACCUUGUAAGCUAAGGCCAGCAACAUCUAAGUUUUUCUGAACCUCAUCCCCAGGACAGAGUCCAUACUCCUAAGCCUGAAGACAUCCAAAUGCCAUCUCUGAGAGUUCAUAAUAAGCCCCCAAACUUC
This 1158-nucleotide long non-coding RNA is filed under the name Homo sapiens (human). RNAcentral describes it as "non-protein coding lnc-NBPF9-8:1". The record is from RNAcentral. Lineage: Eukaryota; Metazoa; Chordata; Mammalia; Primates; Hominidae.